Molecule: ribosomal RNA, 492 nt
Filed under: uncultured bacterium
Lineage: Bacteria
Description: partial 16S ribosomal RNA
Rfam family: Bacterial small subunit ribosomal RNA
Source: RNAcentral
AGUGAACGCUGGCGGUAGUUCUAACCCAUGCCAGUCGAACGGCAGUACUUUAAUAUCUUGCUUUUACGGGUGGCGAGUGGCUGUCGGGUGAGGAAUACAUCGGCAUCUACUUUUUCGUGGUGGAUAACGUAGGGAAACUUACGCUAAUAUCGCAUACGACCUACGGGUGAAAGCAGGUGAUCUUCCGUCCUUGCGCGUUUGUAUGUUCCGAUGUCUGAUUAGCUAGUUGGCGGGGUAAAGGCCCACCAAGGCGACGAUCCGUAGCUGGUCUGAGAGGAUGAUCGGCCACACUGGAACGGAGACACGGUCCAGACUCCUACGGGAGGCAGCAGUCAGGAAUAUUAGACAAUGGGCGCAAGCCUGAUCCAGCCAUACCGCGUGGGUGAAGAAGGCAUUCGGGUUGUAAAGCCCAUUUGUUGGGAAAGAAAAGCAGCAGAUUAAUACGCCGCUGGUAUGAAGGUACCUAAAGAAUAAGCACCGGCUAACUUAGUG